RNAcentral lists this unclassified non-coding RNA (2288 nucleotides) under Hevea brasiliensis (rubber tree). Lineage: Eukaryota; Viridiplantae; Streptophyta; Magnoliopsida; Malpighiales; Euphorbiaceae. The record is from RNAcentral.
GUUUGUGUGUGUGUGUGUUUUCUUUCUUCUAGCCUACAAGUAAAGCCCAUAUUAAAUUAAUAAACACCAAGAUAUUUAGCCACAAAACAUUUAAAAAAUAUUCUAAUAAAAGGCUAAAAGAGUGAAGCAAAUUUUAGGGGGAGGGAGUUUAAAGUGUAAUGGCCUUUAGAGCUGCUGUAAGGUAAAUGUUUCUUUAAAACCUAUUAGAUAAAAUGAAGACCUUUUUUGACACCGUGAUGAGAAAGAAAUGGUCAUCCUCCUAAAGAUCUGUAAGAGGAUAGCUUUGGAUAGAGACAAACUAGGGGAAAUGAAUUCAUCUGGUUGUCUUCACUAUCUUAAACUUAGGCCACCUUUUGCAUUUCAAGUAGUUUCAGUUUCUCUCAUUAGUAAGAGAAUGAAGGCUGUUGUGGAAAAUUUACUUUGCUAGCUUUAUGUAGCAAAAAAUUAUGAAUCUAUUGACCCACAAAAUGGCAAAAGAUGUUGAACGCUGAGAUUUGAUCAUGUUUACUAUGUGAAAAGCUAAUUACAAAUGUAACGCAGCAUAUUGUAAAUUAUUUUGAACUUUGCUACAUCUUGAGUACUGUUCAACAUCUCAGCUGCAUUUGGGCUGUGCUUCCCGGUUUUUGGGUCGUGGUCACUCAAGCUGAAGUUAAGUUCCCAUAGCUAGUUUGAUAACUUGAAAAUUAUGCAUGCAGCUGUAGAGAAUUGAAUUGGCUUUGAAUAAAUAAUAUUAUUGAGAACUACUUCAUGGUAUGCAAGUAAUAUAGCAUGGAAUUUCUGGAUCAACCCAUGGAAUGUCCUCCAAUAAUAUUGAGAUUGUCAACAAAAAAUUGAUGCAUCUUUGGAACCAUCUCAAAAUAAUUAGCUCCAUAAAUCAGCUAGUUCUUUGUUUAUUUAUCUAUUUAAACUCGUAAAAAUGGUUUGAUUGAAAAAUUUUCUUGCUGAUGGUAGCAUCCCACUUCCCUCUGAAAAUGAAUUUCUUUAUCAUGAAUUUCUUUAUCAUGAAUUGGGGAGUGGUACUCACUCUCAACCUUUAUGUUGAUCCUUUAGAGCAUAGUUUUAUAUAUGUUCAGUACAUUCAAUCGCUCAGCAUCAAACUUAAUUUGUCCCUCUUUUUCGAAUGGAAACAUUCUUCAUUUGCAUUAUAUUGGAAGAUCCCAGCUUGAUCAAAUUCCUGAAAUAAUGUGAUAGUUUAUGAUCAAUUAGUUGUCUAGAGUGUAAUUUUAACAUGUGACUUUCAUAUCAUGGGUGGCCUAUAUCUGUAUGUGUGGUAAAGCAAACAUGGUUAUGAGGUAAAUUAUCUUCCAACAGUGUAUGAACUAUGAAUUUCUUUGGUUUUCUAAUCUUCCAAAACUCUCCAUGCAGAUUACCCUUAUAUCUUGGGAUGGUAGGUGCUGGGUUGAAUGUGGUUAUAUUCGUAUAUACAAGUAUGUUUGCGUGGAGUGUCAGGAGAUUUGAUGAAAAAUGGGAGCUGUCAAGUAUAGCUGCUUUGCCAUUUGUUACCCUAUUGGGACUCAUCUCGUUUUGCUUGUUUGCCUUUGCUCUAUGGCCGAUAUGGAGUUUCUUGACCCUUCCUCUUCUGUUCACACUGUUCAUGGCUUGCAUGGUUAUCUUUCCCCAUAUCAUGAUUGUGACAUUCAGGCAGCCAAAUGACUCAUUCCGUAUAGAUUAAUAGUUCCAAGCAACAGGCUACUGACUUAGAUGAAGAUUUUCUAACUCGAAUACGAUGUUGAUGCCUGAUGGCAUUGGUUAUGUAUCAUGCAAUACGUCUCCUUUCUAGUUUUGCCAUCCUGGUGCUAACAACUAAAGCUGAGUGUCCUUCAAUUGGUCAGUAUUCAUUUCUCAGCUCGAUACACCACAUUUUAUGCCCUAUGGUUUGUAUCACUGGGAUAACAAGAAUUUACGACGGUCAAUUAUUAAUCAGAUUCUGCUGAGGUAUCAAUAGGCAUGUGGAGACAUUGAGCCUUUUAGGCAGUCUCCCAUAUUGUGCCAAAUUUUGUCAUCCAAUGUAAGCCUUGGUCUAGUAACAGGUUCAUCUCUGGUUUACGGAGGUGGUGGUGAUUCUAGCAGGGAGAUUGAAUGUUAAUACUAUUUUAGCCAAUUGGAAUUAUCUUCUGCUUCCAGUUUCAUAUUGUCUUGUCAUGAGUUUGUUGAUGUGGCUAAUAUAGGCCAAAUGUCAACAGAGGGGUUUGAUUCCAUGUAAGAUAGCUUAUAUGGAAUGAUAAACCAAUUAAAAAGACAAAUAGAUAAUAGUGUUCCUGCAAAAUUAAGUUUUAUUUUUAUCUACU